GGAAGGAUCAUUACAGGUAUAAUAAUUACCACAUAACUUAUUUACACAAAAUAAAUGUUCGGUCAACAUAUCAUAAACCGAUACCUGGUCAAUCGAAUACAGGUUAAAAAUCGAUCAGAUAAAAAAAACAUUUAGUUUACCGAAGAACUUUGACCGAUUUUUUUUAACCGGAUCAAAUUUUUCAAAAAUUACAAUUGCCGUCAGUGGAUAUCUCGGCUAUCAGGUCGAUGAAGAGCGCAGCGAAAUGCGUUACCUAGUGUGACAUGCAUACACUCGUGAAUCACCGACAUCUUGAACGUAACUGACAAAGCUUGCGUAAGCGAGCUUUAAUCACGACCGAGUGCCAACAUUAAACCACAAAGACUGAGGGGCGUCUCUUACCCAAAGAUUACACGGUCACCUAUAAGUAUGGAAGGACUGACGUAUCUCUUCUACCGAGAUACACAGUAUACUAUAGGAAGGACAUGUAUGUCUUGAAGUGCAUGGGGACGCUAUCCUUUAAAUUUAACCGAAGUCACGUACAACCAUUAUCGGACAAAAUUUUUUUUGACCUAUAAACCGUGACUGGGAACCUAAAUCUCGGAUAUACACGAGAAAAUUUAUAACCGAGAUUAAAUACCUCGGUCAUAUUUGACCUCGAUCGUGAUAGACUACCCGCUGAAUUUAAGCAUAUCAAUAAGCGGAGGAAAAGAAAAUAACAAUGAUUCCCCGAGUAACUGCGAGUGAAACGGGAGAAGCGCAUCCUGAAUCCGGUGGUUUUUUUAACUAUUGGAGUUGUGGGGUAGUGAACGUAACCAGGGGAGGGAGCUGAAUGAACUUAUCUGGAACGGUAGACCACAGAGGGUUACAGUCCCGUAAUUCGGAUGACUUCUUCGUACGGUUAUGAUUCCGCGAGUCGCGUUGCCUGAGAUCGCAACGCUAAACGGGGGUAUGUUUCCCCGAACGCUAAAUAUUACUGAUAGACCGAUAGCGAACAAGUACCGUGAGGGAAAGGUCAAAAGAACUCUGAAAAGAGAGUUAAAAGAACUUGAAACUGACGUCAAGGAAGCGGUUCGGAAACUUACGUUGGACCAUUUGAUUCCCGGUGAAUCUAUCUUGAUUUGAUCGUAUCCGUGUGAAGGAUUAGCUUGCCGGAUAUUUAAAUCAGGGUAGUUUAGCCGGUACUUCAAGUACCAACACCCGCAAUACCGGUGAUUGACCCACAAUUGCUGUUACUGUACUUCUGUUGGAGACAACAAGGGAACUAACGGAUCAUUAGGUCAAACACUGAUGGAAAAGUAGCGAGGGCCUUUAAUGGCAAGCCUAUGCGGUGACUUGCGUGUAUCAUUGGAAAGACUCUUUAGAGACGAUUCUUGGUGCGCGUAACAUAACUGAUACGGUUAUCCUUGUUAUCGGGCAAAGUAUCCUAACCGACCCGUCUUGAAACACGGACCAAGGAGUCCAACACCUAUGCGAGUGAAUCAGUAAUUAAACUGAUACGCGUAAUGAAAGUAAUUCGGUGAAGCCCUUAAGAAAGGCAGCAACCGAUACCGACACGAUUAUUUAUAAACGAGUUUGAGUAUGAGCAUAGGUGUUGGGACCCGAAAGAUAGUGAACUAUACCCGGGCAGAGUGAAGCCAGAAGAAAUUCUGGUGGAAGCUCGUAGAGAUACUGACGUGCAAAUCGUUCUCGGGAUCCAGGUAUAGCGGCGAAAGACUAAUCGAACUGUCUAGUAGCUGGUUUCCGC
RNAcentral lists this unclassified non-coding RNA (1726 nucleotides) under uncultured fungus. RNAcentral's name for it is "sequence contains 18S rRNA gene, ITS1, 5.8S rRNA gene, ITS2, 28S rRNA gene". The stretch from base 631 to 1726 matches the Rfam family "Eukaryotic large subunit ribosomal RNA", at positions 1 to 961 of the family's 3401-position model. The record is from RNAcentral. Lineage: Eukaryota; Fungi.